GUAAUAUUGCAUAGCAGACUGUAGUUGUUUGACAGAGGUAAGAUAUUGCAUUGCUUCUUGGCGAUCAUGAGUGAAAAGAGAAGAGAUGGUGGUGGAAUCAGAGUCCCAUUUGGAAAUGAUGAUAUGGGCAUUGUCAAUAUUCUCAUCUAUCAAUGUAUCAGAGAAAGUAUGGCGAUGGGGUGGUGAUCUCAUUGGAGAAGAUGAAGGAGAUGGCUUGAAGAAUACAGUCCUCAUACCUUUCCUCGGCAUAUAGAGUAGUCAAAGAUUAAAGCAAAUUGAAUGAAUGAAUGAAUUUGAGAGAGCAAUGGUAAUGGUUUCUGUGGAGGAAGUGAUGGGGUAUUUAUAGAGGAGAGAGGGCGAGGGUAAGUUAGAAAAGAGAGAGAUAGUUUUGACUGUGUCUGAAGAGUCUACGCGGUUGUGUUGUUCGUUUCUUUGUGGCUUU
This 442-nucleotide unclassified non-coding RNA is filed under the name Hevea brasiliensis (rubber tree). The record is from RNAcentral. Lineage: Eukaryota; Viridiplantae; Streptophyta; Magnoliopsida; Malpighiales; Euphorbiaceae.